This 301-nucleotide ribosomal RNA is filed under the name uncultured bacterium. RNAcentral describes it as "partial 16S ribosomal RNA". It matches the Rfam family "Bacterial small subunit ribosomal RNA", at positions 509 to 809 of the family's 1533-position model. The record is from RNAcentral.
CAGCCGCCGCGGUAAUACAGAGGGUGCGAGCGUUAAUCGGAUUUACUGGGCGUAAAGCGUGCGUAGGCGGCUUCUUAAGUCGGAUGUGAAAUCCCUGAGCUUAACUUAGGAAUUGCAUUCGAUACUGGGAAGCUAGAGUAUGGGAGAGGAUGGUAGAAUUCCAGGUGUAGCGGUGAAAUGCGUAGAGAUCUGGAGGAAUACCGAUGGCGAAGGCGGCCAUCUGGCCUAAUACUGACGCUGAGGUACGAAAGCAUGGGGAGCAAACAGGAUUAGAUACCCCUGUAGUCCUGUCUCUUAUACA